Non-coding RNA from Vicia faba (fava bean), 228 nucleotides. NCBI's taxonomy places the organism in Eukaryota, Viridiplantae, Streptophyta, Magnoliopsida, Fabales, Fabaceae. The record is from the annotation of a GenBank genome assembly.
AUGAUGCAGGUCAGUUCGUUGGUUGAUGUCAUGUGCAACAUAGCAUGUGGUAUGUUGGACUCCUUGCUCCACAAUUCUGCCACAAUUUUCCUACUUGCUCCACAACACGCCACGUCUUCUGUUUUCAACAUGACAUGUAUUAUGUUUUCAAACUAUCAACUACACCUCUUCUCUUUAUCAAAACGUAAAGAUGCAUUUCAAAACAAAAACUUCUGCUGCCUUACUUGA